This 73-nucleotide transfer RNA is filed under the name Monodon monoceros (narwhal). Its description in RNAcentral is "transfer RNA-Gln". It matches the Rfam family "tRNA". From Rfam's summary of the family: Transfer RNA (tRNA) molecules are approximately 80 nucleotides in length. The record is from RNAcentral. Lineage: Eukaryota; Metazoa; Chordata; Mammalia; Artiodactyla; Monodontidae.
UAGAUUAUAGUGUGAUACGGUAGCACGGAGAAUUUUGAAUUCUUAAGGAUAGGUUCAAUUCCUAUUGUUCUAG